GUGGUCACUUCGGCAGCACACAUGCUAAAAUUGGAACACUACAGAGAAGACUAGCAUGCCCCUGUGCAAGGAUGCCAGGCAAAUUCGUGAAAAAUUCUGUAUUUUU
Non-coding RNA from Otolemur garnettii (small-eared galago), 106 nucleotides. NCBI's taxonomy places the organism in Eukaryota, Metazoa, Chordata, Mammalia, Primates, Galagidae. The record is from Rfam.